GACGAACGCUGGCGGCGUGCUUAACACAUGCAAGUCGAACGAGGCCCCUCCUUCGGGAGGGUGUCCUAGUGGCGAACGGGUGAGUAACACGUGGGCAACCUGCCCCCGGCUCUGGGAUAACCCCAAGAAAUUGGGGCUAAUACCGGAUAUGACCGCUGACCGCAUGGCCUGGUGGUGGAAAGAUUUUUUCGGCUGGGGAUGGGCCCGCGGCCUAUCCGCUUGUUGGUGGGGUAGUGGCCUACCAAGGCGACGACGGGUAGCCGGCCUGAGAGGGUGACCGGCCACACUGGGACUGAGGCACGGCCCAGACUCCUACGGGAGGCAGCAGUGGGGAAUAUUGCGCAAUGGGCGGAAGCCUGACGCAGCGACGCCGCGUGGGGGAUGACGGCCUUCGGGUUGUAAACCUCUUUCAGCAGGGACGAAGCGAAAGUGACGGUACCUGCAGAAGAAGCACCGGCCAACUACGUGCCAGCCGCCGCGGUAA
RNAcentral lists this ribosomal RNA (484 nucleotides) under uncultured bacterium. RNAcentral's name for it is "partial 16S ribosomal RNA". It matches the Rfam family "Bacterial small subunit ribosomal RNA", at positions 28 to 523 of the family's 1533-position model. The record is from RNAcentral.